This 253-nucleotide ribosomal RNA is filed under the name uncultured bacterium. RNAcentral describes it as "partial 16S ribosomal RNA". It matches the Rfam family "Bacterial small subunit ribosomal RNA", at positions 524 to 776 of the family's 1533-position model. The record is from RNAcentral.
UACGGAGGGUGCAAGCGUUGUUCGGAAUUAUUGGGCGUAAAGGGCGCGUAGGCGGGUGUGCAAGUCGAUUGUGAAAGCCCCGGGCUUAACCUGGGAAUUGCAGUCGAUACUGCUCAUCUUGAGUGCUUGAGAGGGUGGUGGAAUUCCUGGUGUAGAAGUGAAAUUCGUAGAUAUCAGGAGGAACACCUGAGGCGAAGGCGGCCACCUGGCAAGACACUGACGCUGAGGCGCGAAAGUGCGGGGAGCAAACAGG